CAAUAUACAGUUUGCAUGCAAAAAUAAGAAUUGGGCCAAAGCCCAAAAAUCAGCAGAUUUUGGCCCAAGGUUCUGGGCAGCAAUAGGCAAAAAAGGGCCCAAAUUAUUUUCUCCUUCUCUCUAUUAUUUGAUUGUAUUUACUUUUGUUUAUUUUACCUCUAACCUUUUAUUUGAUUUGGUUUAAUUUGAUUUAAACCCCAAAGAUAGUCAUUUCUCUUUUAUAUUUUUAAAA
Molecule: long non-coding RNA, 232 nt
Filed under: Solanum tuberosum (potato)
Lineage: Eukaryota; Viridiplantae; Streptophyta; Magnoliopsida; Solanales; Solanaceae
Description: long non-coding RNA (STUB_LNC006958)
Source: RNAcentral